ACUGGCCUUGGGCCGCUCCCGGGAGUCAGUCGCUUGCGAUGACGCUGCUGGGAACGCUUAGCCCUUGACUAUCACCUUGACUACGUGCACCUUUUGUUGUUUCCUCGGCAGGUCCCCUGCCGCCAGGAACCCCAAAACCCUUUUGCAUUAGCAUUCAAACUUCUGAAAACAAAACAAAUUAUUUA
This 185-nucleotide unclassified non-coding RNA is filed under the name uncultured Pleosporales. RNAcentral describes it as "sequence contains ITS1". The record is from RNAcentral. Lineage: Eukaryota; Fungi; Ascomycota; Dothideomycetes; Pleosporales.